GCUAUCAGGCGUCGAGCGGCGGACGGGUGAGUAAUACUUAGGAAUCUACCUAGUAGUGGGGGAUAGCUCGGGGAAACUCGAAUUAAUACCGCAUACGACCUACGGGAGAAAGGGGGCAACUUGUUGCUCUCGCUAUUAGAUGAGCCUAAGUCGGAUUAGCUAGAUGGUGGGGUAAAGGCCUACCAUGGCGACGAUCUGUAGCUGGUCUGAGAGGAUGAUCAGCCACACCGGGACUGAGACACGGCCCGGACUCCUACGGGAGGCAGCAGUGGGGAAUAUUGGACAAUGGGGGCAACCCUGAUCCAGCCAUGCCGCGUGUGUGAAGAAGGCCUUUUGGUUGUAAAGCACUUUAAGCAGUGAAGAAGACUCCAUGGUUAAUACCCAUGGACGAUGACAUUAGCUGCAGAAUAAGCACCGGCUAACUCUGUGCCAGCAGCCGCGGUAAUACAGAGGGUGCAAGCGUUAAUCGGAAUUACUGG
RNAcentral lists this ribosomal RNA (479 nucleotides) under Psychrobacter sp. Its description in RNAcentral is "bacterial SSU rRNA". It matches the Rfam family "Bacterial small subunit ribosomal RNA", at positions 76 to 557 of the family's 1533-position model. Lineage: Bacteria; Pseudomonadati; Pseudomonadota; Gammaproteobacteria; Moraxellales; Moraxellaceae. The record is from RNAcentral.